RNAcentral lists this unclassified non-coding RNA (326 nucleotides) under Hevea brasiliensis (rubber tree). Lineage: Eukaryota; Viridiplantae; Streptophyta; Magnoliopsida; Malpighiales; Euphorbiaceae. The record is from RNAcentral.
GUCUGUACAUGGAGAGCUUUAGGGGCCGGGGGGUGUUAAAUUUCUGUUUCAUGAUGUAUGAAAAUGAGGUUGCUGGGUAUCCACACAGAAAAACGAUUUAGCAAAUGCACGACAAUAUCAAAUAUGGAUCGUGCUUGUGGCCAAAAAUCUAAGCAUUUAUCGUCCUCAGUCUUCUGUUGAAAUAAUGAUUCUUUAUUCUCCACUCUUCUUGACUACUAACACUUGAAAUCAUGGUGACCUUGAACAUUUAAGCAAUGAUACAUUUGCUCUUGCUGCAAUCAGUCAGCAACACUUGAAAUCGUGGUGAUCCUGGAAUCAGCUCCACC